RNAcentral lists this ribosomal RNA (253 nucleotides) under uncultured bacterium. RNAcentral describes it as "partial 16S ribosomal RNA". It matches the Rfam family "Bacterial small subunit ribosomal RNA", at positions 524 to 776 of the family's 1533-position model. The record is from RNAcentral.
UACAGAGGUCCCGAGCGUUGUUCGGAUUCACUGGGCGUAAAGGGAGCGUAGGUGGCCUUAUAAGUCAGUGGUGAAAUCCCGCAGCUUAACUGUGGAAUUGCCAUUGAUACUGUAGGGCUUGAGUACAGAUGCCGUUGGCGGAAUAUGACAUGUAGUGGUGAAAUACAUAGAGAUGUCAUAGAACACCGAUUGCGAAGGCAGCUGACGAAACUGUAACUGACACUGAGGCUCGAAAGUGUGGGGAUCAAACAGG